This 200-nucleotide ribosomal RNA is filed under the name uncultured bacterium. Its description in RNAcentral is "partial 16S ribosomal RNA". It matches the Rfam family "Bacterial small subunit ribosomal RNA", at positions 30 to 226 of the family's 1533-position model. The record is from RNAcentral.
AUUGAACGCUGGCGGCAUGCCUAACACAUGCAAGUCGAACGGCAGCGGGUCGUAGCAAUACGAUGCCGGCGAGUGGCGGACGGGUGAGGAAUACAUAGGAAUCUACCCAAACGUGGGGGAUAACGUAGGGAAACUUACGCUAAUACCGCAUACGACCGAGAGGGGAAAGCGGCGGACCGCAAGGCGUCGCGCGGUUGGAU